AGAUUUUGUCAUAAAGCGUUACAAAGUAAAAAUAAAGAAAGCUCACUGAGA
RNAcentral lists this non-coding RNA (51 nucleotides) under unclassified sequences. Its description in RNAcentral is "6A RNA". It matches the Rfam family "6A RNA". Rfam says of the family: Actinobacteria (1 example), Firmicutes, Fusobacteria. Terminator (Clostridia) The record is from Rfam by way of RNAcentral.